GAAAUAUAUGUACCCAGUGAGCGAGAAUGCUGCAUGGUCACCCCCUGUGAUGUAAAAUAUGAGAAUCUAGGAGGGGCUGUUUUAUAAUUCAUCAGGUUCCGCUAGUGAGUUCUGUCAGAGUCUUAGUUAUAAAGGCAAGUGUGAACCGGACAGCAGACAGGAGAACCUGGCACCAAGGAGACGGAGAAGCUGCCUUUGGUGCCUCCUGCCUCCUCCCUGCUUUGUUCCAAUAAUUUUGUGCUCGAUUACGCUCGAUUUGAGGCCAAAAUCCAUGACCUACGAGAGCAGAUGAUGAACCACAGCAUGAGCUCCGGGUCCGGAUCCCUGCGAACCAAUCAGAAACGCUCCCUCUACGUCAGGUAGGCAAUGGAGUAUUUCUCUAUCUGCACUUUGUGAGCAAUUCAACUUGAGAAAACAAAGGCAACACCAUGUAGCAACAGAACAUGUGUCCCACUUAACCCAUGUUCAUCAGUACACUACUGAAAGACCUUGUGUUUAAGCAUUUGGAAUAAAUGUUUGAAAUGUUAUUAGAUUAAAUUAGUUAAAGGUGCCUGCUUUUAUCAAGUUAUUCUUUGGCAAAGUUAUGAUUCAGGAUAAAGUGCUCAGCAUAGGUUGCAAUAAAAAUAAUGAGAAGAAACAUUUUCAUUUCUAAUAAAUCUUAAAUGGCAUAUGUGGACCAAACCCUUGGACAUUUGCU
RNAcentral lists this small RNA (697 nucleotides) under Pan troglodytes (chimpanzee). Its description in RNAcentral is "retained intron". Lineage: Eukaryota; Metazoa; Chordata; Mammalia; Primates; Hominidae. The record is from RNAcentral.